Molecule: unclassified non-coding RNA, 252 nt
Filed under: Pleosporormiella terricola
Lineage: Eukaryota; Fungi; Ascomycota; Dothideomycetes; Pleosporales; Sporormiaceae
Description: Preussia terricola partial internal transcribed spacer region
Rfam family: Eukaryotic small subunit ribosomal RNA (bases 1-46)
Source: RNAcentral
AAGUCGUAACAAGGUUUCCGUAGGUGAACCUGCGGAAGGAUCAUUAUCGUGGGGCUUCGGCCCCGUCGAGAUAGCACCCUUGCCUUUAUGAGUACCUUGGUUCCCUCCCCCGUACCCUCGGGGAGCGGGAGGGACCUCGUCUGUUUCCCCAACGGUAACCCCGCGGGGACACGAAACACGCUGUAAGCACCUGUAACAGUCUGAUAAACAAACAAAAAAUCAAAACUUUCAACAACGGAUCUCUUGGUUCUG